This 243-nucleotide ribosomal RNA is filed under the name uncultured bacterium. Its description in RNAcentral is "partial 16S ribosomal RNA". It matches the Rfam family "Bacterial small subunit ribosomal RNA", at positions 57 to 305 of the family's 1533-position model. The record is from RNAcentral.
GCAAGUCGAACGAGAAAGCUUCUUCGGAAGUGAGUAGAGUGGCGCACGGGUGAGUAACGCGUGGGUAUCUACCCUUUGGCGGGGGACAACAUUUGGAAACGAAUGCUAAUACCGCAUAAGUCGGCUUCGGCCGGGAAAGGUGGCUUCGGCUACCGCCAUAGGAUGAGCCCGCGUCCCAUCAGCUAGUUGGUAGGGUAAGAGCCUACCAAGGCAACGACGGGUAGCUGGUCUGAGAGGAUGAUC